This is an unclassified non-coding RNA of Cebus imitator (Panamanian white-faced capuchin), 297 nucleotides long. It matches the Rfam family "Metazoan signal recognition particle RNA". From Rfam's summary of the family: The signal recognition particle (SRP) is a universally conserved ribonucleoprotein. It is involved in the co-translational targeting of proteins to membranes. The eukaryotic SRP consists of a 300-nucleotide 7S RNA and six proteins: SRPs 72, 68, 54, 19, 14, and 9. The record is from Ensembl. NCBI's taxonomy places the organism in Eukaryota, Metazoa, Chordata, Mammalia, Primates, Cebidae.
GCCGGGCGCGUUGGCACAUGCCUGUAGUCCCAGCUACUCAGGAGGCUGAGGCUGGAGGAUUACUUGAGCCCAGGAGUUCUGGGUUGUAGUGCGCUAUGCCCAUUGGGUGUCUGCACUAAGUUCGGCAUCAAUAUGGUGUCCUCCCAGGAGCAGGGGACCACCAGAUUGCUUAAGGAGGGGUGAACCGGCCAGGUCAGAAAUGGAGCAGGUGAAAACUCCCAUGCUGAUCAGUAGUGGGAUCGGCCUGUGAAUAGCCAUUGUACUCCAGCCUGCACAACAUAGCAAGACCCCAUCUCA